This 68-nucleotide transfer RNA is filed under the name Labidocera rotunda. RNAcentral describes it as "tRNA-Glu". The record is from RNAcentral. Lineage: Eukaryota; Metazoa; Arthropoda; Copepoda; Calanoida; Pontellidae.
GUUUUCAUGGUGUAAUUAUUUUAACAUUAAGUGUUUUCAUCACUUAGAUAGGGGAUCCCUUGAAAAUU